UCGUCCUCCUCCGCUCGUCCUGGCCCUUGGCGCAAAAUGGUGGGAACGCCGAUUCCGGCCGUGGCAGACGGCUAAAACCUGGCCCUCGACUCGCGCUCAUCUAUGGUGGAGCAAGAGGAGGCAGGAGAGGACGGGGACCAUGAAGCCUCCAAGUUCCAGGCGUCGGCUUUUGCAGGAUUGGGGCGAGAUAAAUAUGGGUAAGGAUUUUGGUUUGAGCACCGCAUCUAGGGUCAUGAGCACCGCAUCUGGGGACUGGGGAUCAUGAGCACCGCAUCCGGUCAUUUACUCUCAUUCGAUCAAUUUUAUAGGAGGUGAAAGGAUUUGGCGAUUUGCUCUCACGAGCACCGCAUCUGGUCAGCAGAUAUUAUGCCGGACAGUAUAUGACCAGAUGCGUUGCUGAGGGAGAGGGG
This 410-nucleotide long non-coding RNA is filed under the name Sorghum bicolor (sorghum). RNAcentral describes it as "long non-coding RNA (SBIC_LNC004502)". The record is from RNAcentral. Lineage: Eukaryota; Viridiplantae; Streptophyta; Magnoliopsida; Poales; Poaceae.